Triticum aestivum (bread wheat) is the source of this 2566-nucleotide long non-coding RNA. RefSeq lists it as uncharacterized. Lineage: Eukaryota; Viridiplantae; Streptophyta; Magnoliopsida; Poales; Poaceae. The transcript has 3 exons. The record is from RefSeq and is a predicted model, not a curated record.
ACUCCCCACCGUUCCAACCCUUCUCUCCCCCGCACCCACACCCGCUCGCCAAACCCUAGCCGCCGCCUUCCCCGCCCCCGCACCAUGGUUGUCGACGGCGAGGAGCCCGAAUUCCCACGCCUCCCUGUCCUCAAGUGGGUCAUGUCCCCCGCCAUGGCCACAGUGGGCCUUCCGGAUCCGCGCCUCCUCGCGCCGCCACCAUCUCCCUGAUCCAGAUCGACGCCACCACCCUCUCAUCCUCAUGCGCCGAGCGCCGCCACCACCCUCUUGCCGCCGCCUCCCAACCCACUUGCCGCCACCUCCUUCCUCCAGCACCAUCUCUCCAACCCCAGCAACGAGUUUGUCCUCAUCUCCGACCCCGCCACCGGCUGCUUCCACUCCGAGGAAGCCGACGCCCUCCUCUUCGUCUCCCCCAUCGACCCCCCUCCUUCUCCACCUCCUUCCACCACCAGAGCCCCACCUCCUCCUUCCUCCAGCUCCAUCGGAGCCUUGCCCCACCCUCGCCUUCUUCCUCCAACGUGGGUGGUUCGGGCCGGUGCGCCCCACUUGCCGGCGCACCCCGCGAUGAUGGUGGGAUCCGGCCACCACUGCCCCCUCGCGAGGCCUCCUCCACCGGAUCCCGGCCGCGAUGGCCAUCAGUGCGGACCCAAAACCGGCGGAUCUGGCAGCCACUGGCCCCCUGACCGGCCUUCUUCCAGAGGCCCUGCGAUGCGCCACCCCACCCGCCCCGCAACCUCCUGCCCGCACCACCCGAUCCAUGGCGGCGCUCUAAGGGUCUGGAUUUCGACGGGGUGGCGGUCGUCCAUGCUACUACCUCCAAUGGUCGAGCACACAGGCGUAUGGUUCCACCUCACCGACUCCAUGGCCCUCCGGGAUGCUUUCCAGUUCCACGGGGCCAACCAAGCAUGACACCUUCAAGUAGAUGCAGUUCUGCCUCCAAUGGCAGAGGGGCGCAGCUGCGUCACCACACUUUCAGAUUCUGACUAGGCAGGCUAAUGGGUUGCAGCAGUAGUAUGCAGGGUUAAUACGGCCAAGGGAAAUGACUACCGUUCCAGGGUCUCCGGUCUGGGAGCUCGUGAAGAAGAACAACUACUUCUUGAUCAAGCAGUUCGGUAACAACAACACCAAGGUGCAGUCGUCCAACAACAACUUGGUUCUGAUUAUCUUCUUAGUGAUGUUGUCUUGUUCUGCUUCUGAAGUAGUACUGUUUUAUCCAAGCCUAGAUCUCCUAUAUACUGUAGUCCUAUCAUGCAAUCUGAUCCUGACACAAAACAUUACUCUGUCUAACCCAUGUCUGAUUUAUAACAUAGUAAUAUUGUGUAGCUUGAUUAUUUGUAAAAUGGCGGGCAAAUGCUGCUGCAGAGAUAUUAGUGGUAUAUGUGCAUGCAUUUGACAAUAUGAUUUCACAUGUGUGUUUGAACAUUAACCAUACAGAUUAUGGUACUGUUAAUUUGGUGCAGUUGAAUGAGUGCUUGAUGCUGAUAUUUUCUUAAAUCAGCAUUAUUUUGUCUUAUAAUAGAUUGAUUUGCACUGUUUUGGUUAAUCAUAGUCCCAUAACCGUAUGUGAUUUCAUUGACUGAGAUGUUGUAGUAGACUUUGUUGCUAGCUAUUUAAGAUCACUUAAGAUAUUAUAUAAACAUCAUAUCUCCCGGGUCGUCUCCAACGCCGUUGACAUGAAGCUCAGGGAUGACCUUGAGAGGCUCAAGAAGAUCAGGUAUAACCUCGCCGUUCCCUGUUCUUUUUCCCCCUUACCAUUGGUUGAUAUAUGGCUAUGUGUUAGAUUCAACUACUGAAGAUGCUUGCACUUCAUAUCAGGACUAGCAGUUUGUAUCUUGCCUGGUAUUAUACAGUUUAAUUUGCUAUUAUUAGCUAGGGUUGUUGAUAGACUUAAUUUUCUGCUGGAAGUCAAAUCUCCUAAACACUAGAAUGCCUGAAAUGUCAGGGUAGCAAGUACUAGCCCUGUGCUUCAUUCUAUGUACCGUUCUGGUGUCUGUGCAUGUAUGGGCUAGCUUUUUGUGUAGAAUAGUGAGUUGAUGCUUCUUUCUACUGAAAUACAGCAUGUGAGCUCUAUGGAUGUUUAUUUACCUGUAACUUCUGCCAGCUCUAUGGAUGGUUAUAUAACAGUUCAACUCAGUCAAAUCUUUGGGGUGUUGAUACACUACUGUGCAAGUUCUAUGGUAUGUGAGUUCCUUCUAUUGCUGCAAGCAUUGACACAAUAUGUCAUGUGCAGGGAGCUCCGCAUCCGAGUCUCGUCCAUCCUCGGCAGCAAGGAGCUGGGCCAAGGGAGCAAGCAGCGCUGCUGGUUACUUGGGGCCAGAUCGAGUAAGAUGACGCACCAUGGCAUGUGGCGGCGUAUUUUGCUUCCAAGAGCAGUAAUGUUUAUUUGAAAUGAGAUGUACUCGUCUACUGCCUAGUAAACAAUACUGCCUAGUACUGUUUAUUUUGCAUCCAAGAGCAGUACUGUUUAUUUUGCUUCCGUGGCGUGUGGCGUCCUAUUUUGAAUGAUUGUCAUGUACUGUGAUGUAGUGAGCUGUAGGAGUGAAAUGAAAUUUUAUCUGCUGUUGUA